Molecule: ribosomal RNA, 301 nt
Filed under: uncultured bacterium
Lineage: Bacteria
Description: partial 16S ribosomal RNA
Rfam family: Archaeal small subunit ribosomal RNA
Source: RNAcentral
CAGCCGCCGCGGUAAUACCAGCAGCCCAAGUGGUGGUCGCGAUUAUUGGGCCUAAAGCGCUCGUAGCCGGGCCGGUAAGUCCCUUGUGAAAUCGGACGGCCUAACCGUUCGGCGUGCAAGGGAUACUGUCGGUCUUGAGGCCGGGAGACGUCCGAGGUACUCCGGGGGUAGCGGUGAAAUGUUCUGAUCCUCGGGGGACCACCGGUGGCGAAGGCGUUCGACGAGAACGGGCCUGAUGGUGAGGGGCGAAGGCUAGGGGAGCAAACGGGAUUAGAUACCCGAGUAGUCCCUGUCUCUUAUA